GGCUCAGAAUGAACGUUGGCGGCGUGGAUUAGGCAUGCAAGUCGAGCGCUCAUAGCAAUAUGGGAGCGGCGAACGGCGUAGUAAUAUGUAGGAACGUACCCUCGGGUCGGGGAUAGCCAUGGGAAACUGUGGGUAAUACCCGAUAAUCUCUGCGGAGCAAAGGUGUGAUUCCGCCUGAGGAGCGGCCUACACGAUAUUAGCUAGUUGGUAGGGUAAUGGCCUACCAAGGCUACGAUGUCUAGGGGGUGUGAGAGCAUGGCCCCCACGACCGGAACUGAGAUACUGUCCGGACACCUACGGGUGGCUGCAGUCGAGAAUCUUCCGCAAUGGACGAAAGUCUGACGGAGCGACGCCGCGUGCGGGAUGAAGGCCCUUGGGUUGUAAACCGCUGUCAGAGGGGGAUGAAAUCUUCGGAGGUGCUCCUCCAAAGUUGACAGAGCCUCAAAGGAAGCACGGGCUAAGUACGUG
This 468-nucleotide ribosomal RNA is filed under the name uncultured bacterium. RNAcentral describes it as "bacterial SSU rRNA". It matches the Rfam family "Bacterial small subunit ribosomal RNA", at positions 21 to 507 of the family's 1533-position model. The record is from RNAcentral.